ACUCCUACGGGAGGCAGCAGUGGGGAAUCUUGGACAAUGGGCGAAAGCCCGAUCCAGCAAUGCCGCGUGAGUGAUGAAGGCCUUAGGGUUGUAAAGCUCUUUUACCAGGGAUGAUAAUGACAGUACCUGGAGAAUAAGCUCCGGCUAACUCCGUGCCAGCAGCCGCGGUAAUAC
Molecule: ribosomal RNA, 174 nt
Filed under: uncultured Lactobacillales bacterium
Lineage: Bacteria; Bacillati; Bacillota; Bacilli; Lactobacillales
Description: partial 16S ribosomal RNA
Rfam family: Bacterial small subunit ribosomal RNA
Source: RNAcentral